CAAUAGCGUAUAUUAAAGCUGUUGCGGUUAAAAAGCUCGUAGUUGGAUUUCUGUCAAGGACAACUGGUCCGCCCUUCGGGUGAGCACAUAGUUUGGUCUUGACAUCUUGCUGGAAGCUGUUGCUGCACUUGGCUGUGUGGCGCAGUGUUCAGCACUUUCACUUUGAGGAAAUUGGAGUGUUUCAAGCAGGCACAUGCCUUUGGACACAGUAGCAUGGAAUAAUUAGAUUGGGCUUUUGCUCCAAUUUGUCGGUUUCUGGAGCUGAGGUGAGUAUUAAUGGGGAUUGUUGGGGGCAUCCGAAUUUAGCCGUCAGAGGUGAAAUUCUUGGAUCUGCUAAAGACGGACAACUGCGAAAGCGUUUGCCCAGGAUGUUUUCAUUGA
This 381-nucleotide ribosomal RNA is filed under the name uncultured eukaryote. Its description in RNAcentral is "partial 18S ribosomal RNA". It matches the Rfam family "Eukaryotic small subunit ribosomal RNA", at positions 592 to 976 of the family's 1831-position model. The record is from RNAcentral.